CCUACGGGAGGCAGCAGUGGGGAAUAUUGCACAAUGGGCGAAACCCUGAUGCAGCGACGCCGCGUGAGUGAAGAAGUAUUUCGGUAUGUAAAGCUCUAUCAGCAGGGCAGAAAAUGACGGUCCCUGAUUAAGAAGCCCCGGCUACCUACGUGCCAGCAGCCGCGGUAAUACGUAGGGGGCAAGCGUGAUCCGGAUUUACUGGGUGGAAAGGGAGCGUAGACGGCAGCACAAUUCUGGAGUGAAAUGCCGGGGCUUAACCCCGGAACUGCUUUGGAAACUGUGCAGAUAGAGUGCAGGAGAGGUAAGUGGAAUUCCUAGUGUAGCGGUGAAAUGCGUAGAUAUUAGGAGGAACACCAGUGGCGAAGGCGGCUUACUGGACUGUAACUGACGUUGAGGCUCGAAAGCGUGGGGAGCAAACAGGAUUAGAUACCCGUGUAGUC
Molecule: ribosomal RNA, 440 nt
Filed under: uncultured bacterium
Lineage: Bacteria
Description: partial 16S ribosomal RNA
Rfam family: Bacterial small subunit ribosomal RNA
Source: RNAcentral